CUUUUCCUCCCAGAGCCAGCCGGGCGGUUGCUGCGAGCCGGUUCUACUUCCUGAGCAGGGGGAAGGAAGCCGCUCUUUUAAAACAACUGCAGUAGCCACGUGAGCCGAGCGUCUCACCCCAGCUGAUAAGGCAGAUCGUCGAGACACUUGGUUUGCGACACUGUCGUCCCCCCCCCGCCGCCCCCGGGGACACAGACCUUGGUGGCAAGGCAAAUUUGCAAUCUGCUCCCGUUAAAAAUGGUGAGCAGUGACUGCAGAGUUGAGGAAAAACCAGGGUAAUCGGAUAAAACCUGUUGAGGACGUCGGAGCAUGGCACCUGCAUAGACUAGGGGAGGGAAAAAUCGUAAUAUAGACGCUGUUCUAAAUCGAGCAUCUGUUUAUUGUUACUGUGCAGGAAGGCACGCCCUAGCAACUGUGUGGAGAGAGGUUAAAGGGCCGUUUGAAGGAGUUGGUGGGAUCUGGGGAUCGAAAUGAGGUUGGCAGGUUUGCUCAGCAAGUGCCUGCCUUUUUCCCUCCGAGACUUCUGGCUGCCAGCACCGAUUUCUGUGAAGCAUAUAUUUCUUUUAAGCAUAGUCGCAAAAGUGGUGUCGCCGAAGAUAGCCUUGAACUGCUGAUUCUCCCUCCUCAGGUCCUGGGAAUUAGUCUUGGGCCACCAUGCCUAAGCUUUUUGUUAAUUGAAGGGGAGCGGGGAAUGAGUGAAGUUUGGUUUGAUUUUGGUUUUUUUCCAGACAGUUUGUCGGCAUAGCACCCUUGGGCUUGUCUCUGUGCUGUAGACCAGGCUGACCUCAAACUCAGAGAUCUGCCUCCCAAGUGCCGGGAGAAAACGUGUGUGCCACCACCUAGAUUUCAGUUACAGAUGAGGGUCAGACGGAGAGAAGAGGCUCAGAAUUGCAGAUGUGUGACAGGAUCUGAGAAUGGAAAUAAAUUCAUUUGGGCUGGAGGGCACAGAGCCAUACUGUACUUUCAUGUAUAGCAACCAUUACUUUCUGAUCAUUGGUUUCCUGUUAUUAGGGUUUCUAUCCCUGGUGCCUGGCUUGUUUAUACCUCAGCGCCUACCACCAGACUUUAUUGACCUUUUAAUUAUUUAUUUAUUUUGGUUUUUCAAGACAGGGUUUCUCUGUGUAGUCCUGGCUGACCUGGAACUCACUGUAGACCAGGCUGGCCUUGAACUCAGAAAUCCGCCUGCCUCUGCCUCCCAAGUGCUGGGAUUAAAGGUGUGCACCACCACCACCACCACCUGGCUUAUUGACCUUUUUAGAGAGUUCAGCAACGUAGCCUCCUAGUCUAAUGCUUCCCUGGUCGCUCCCCCACCCCCUUCACUAUACCUCCAUCAACCAAAAAAUAAACUUCAACUUCUGUAUGGU
Molecule: long non-coding RNA, 1364 nt
Filed under: Mus pahari (shrew mouse)
Lineage: Eukaryota; Metazoa; Chordata; Mammalia; Rodentia; Muridae
Description: lncRNA (MGP_PahariEiJ_G0002307.1)
Source: RNAcentral